AAAUGAAUUGACGGGGGCCCGCACAAGCGGAGGAACAUGUGGUUUAAUUCGAUGAUACGCGAGGAACCUUACCCGGGCUCGAACGGCUGUUGAAUAUGGAUGAAAGUCUAUAGUCGCAAGACAACAGUCGAGGUGCUGCAUGGUUGUCGUCAGCUCGUGCCGUGAGGUGUCGGCUUAAGUGCCAUAACGAGCGCAACCCUUACCGUUAGUUACCAUCAAGUCAAGUUGGGGACUCUAACGGGACUGCCACCGUAAGGUGCGAGGAAGGUGGGGAUGACGUCAAAUCAGCACGGCCCUUACGUCCGGGGCUACACACGUGUUACAAUGGGGGGCACAAAGGGCCGCUACCACGCGAGUGGAUGCUAAUCUUUAAAACCCCUCCCAGUUCGGAUUGGAGUCUGCAACCCGACUCCAUGAAGCUGGAUUCGCUAGUAAUCGCGCAUCAGCCAUGGCGCGGUGAAUACGUUCCCGGGCCUUGUACACACCGCCCGU
RNAcentral lists this ribosomal RNA (492 nucleotides) under uncultured bacterium. RNAcentral describes it as "bacterial SSU rRNA". It matches the Rfam family "Bacterial small subunit ribosomal RNA", at positions 903 to 1397 of the family's 1533-position model. The record is from RNAcentral.